Molecule: ribosomal RNA, 439 nt
Filed under: uncultured bacterium
Lineage: Bacteria
Description: partial 16S ribosomal RNA
Rfam family: Bacterial small subunit ribosomal RNA
Source: RNAcentral
CUACGGGCCGCAGCAGUGAGGAAUAUUGCACAAUGGGGGGAACCCUGAUGCAGCAACGCCGCGUGGAGGAUAACGCAUUUCGGUGUGUAAACUCCUUUUAUAUGUCAAGAAAAUGACGGUAGCAUAUGAAUAAGCACCGGCUAACUCCGUGCUAGCAGCCGCGGUAAUACGGAGGGUGCAAGCGUUACUCGGAAUCACUGGGCGUAAAGGACGCGUAGGCGGGUUGGAAAGUCAGGUGUGAAAUCCUACAGCUUAACUGUAGAACUGCACUUGAAACUUCUAAUCUAGAGUAUGGGAGGGGGAGAUGGAAUUAGUGGUGUAGGGGUAAAAUCCGUAGAUAUCACUAGGAAUACCUAAAGCGAAGGCGAUCUCCUGGAACAUUACUGACGCUAAGGCGUGAAAGCGUGGGGAGCAAACAGGAUUAGAUACCCCCGUAGUC